This 426-nucleotide ribosomal RNA is filed under the name Triticum aestivum (bread wheat). Its description in RNAcentral is "partial small subunit ribosomal RNA". The record is from RNAcentral. Lineage: Eukaryota; Viridiplantae; Streptophyta; Magnoliopsida; Poales; Poaceae.
AUGCCAGUGCUGCAAGAAGGCAAGAAAUUUGAAGAACAAGUUAGAAAAACGCCGCGGGAACACCCGCUCAAUCACCAUCUUAUUGCGAGUAGUCCAAAGAGUCCACAUCAUAGCCGCAAAGAUGAGCCAGAACAGUCGGCGUUUACGGCCAACCUGAGUGGCCCUUACCUACAGAAACUCUGCAAGGUCAUGGGCCUCCCAUUCCGGUUCCAGAGCUUCACGAACAAAACACCAAAGUGCUUGUGCUGCUAUGCACGAGAACAAAAUGUGCGUUCCAGUUUCCGGGACGAGGCAAAGGGGGCAAAGGCCAUUGCCCGGACCAUGGCGUUUCAACACCUCGGUCCCCGAAGGCAAACGAUCUCUGAGAAGCUGCCACACGAAAAUCUUGAUCUUCAGGGGCAUCAGCGCCUUCCACAAUGGGGAUAA